RNAcentral lists this transfer RNA (75 nucleotides) under Oceanospirillaceae bacterium. RNAcentral's name for it is "tRNA-Gly". It matches the Rfam family "tRNA". Rfam says of the family: Transfer RNA (tRNA) molecules are approximately 80 nucleotides in length. Lineage: Bacteria; Pseudomonadati; Pseudomonadota; Gammaproteobacteria; Oceanospirillales; Oceanospirillaceae. The record is from RNAcentral.
CGGGAAUAGCUCAGUUGGUAGAGCACGACCUUGCCAAGGUCGGGGUCGCGAGUUCGAAUCUCGUUUCCCGCUCCA